Long non-coding RNA from Gallus gallus (chicken), 315 nucleotides. The record is from Ensembl. Lineage: Eukaryota; Metazoa; Chordata; Aves; Galliformes; Phasianidae.
CCUUUUCAACCCAGGACAUUCCAGGAUUCUAUGAUUCUUCUCUUGAUGACGUCUGUGCCUCAGACAAAUGGAUCCCACAGGUGGGAGUGGGAGCAGGAAGAGUCCUUCUUUGGGGCUUUGAUUCCUUUUGAACUGGAACUGAGAAGAAAAGACCAAAGCACAUGAACAUCUCAAUGUUUUGCCCGAAGUUGAAGCUACAGAGAUGAACGCGUUUUGCCAAUUCAACCAGUUGUUACCCUUACACAUCCUGUCAAAAAGUACUGAGCUGGACAGACAAACAUAGGAGCACUGUCUGCCCACCUGGGGCUGACUGAU